This 253-nucleotide ribosomal RNA is filed under the name uncultured bacterium. Its description in RNAcentral is "partial 16S ribosomal RNA". It matches the Rfam family "Bacterial small subunit ribosomal RNA", at positions 524 to 776 of the family's 1533-position model. The record is from RNAcentral.
UACGUAGGGUGCGAGCGUUGUCCGGAAUUAUUGGGCGUAAAGGGCUCGUAGGCGGUUUGUCGCGUCGGGAGUGAAAACCAGGUGCUUAACAUCUGGCUUGCUUUCGAUACGGGCAGACUAGAGGUAUGCAGGGGAGAACGGAAUUCCUGGUGUAGCGGUGAAAUGCGCAGAUAUCAGGAAGAACACCGAUGGCGAAGGCAGCUCUCUGGGACGGUACUGACGCUGAGACGCGAAAGCGUGGGGAGCAAACAGG